GCAAGUCGAGCGAACAGAUGAGAAGCUUGCUUCUCUGAUGUUAGCGGCGGACGGGUGAGUAACACGUGGGUAACCUACCUAUAAGACUGGGAUAACUCCGGGAAACCGGGGCUAAUACCGGAUAAUAUUUUGAACCGCAUGGUUCAAUAGUGAAAGACGGUUUCGGCUGUCACUUAUAGAUGGACCCGCGCCGUAUUAGCUAGUUGGUAAGGUAACGGCUUACCAAGGCGACGAUACGUAGCCGACCUGAGAGGGUGAUCGGCCACACUGGAACUGAGACACGGUCCAGACUCCUACGGGAGGCAGCAGUAGGGAAUCUUCCGCAAUGGGCGAAAGCCUGACGGAGCAACGCCGCGUGAGUGAUGAAGGUCUUCGGAUCGUAAAACUCUGUUGUUAGGGAAGAACAAAUUUGUUAGUAACUGAACAAGUCUUGACGGUACCUAACCAGAAAGCCACGGCUAACUACGUGCCAGCAGCCGCGGUAAUACGUAGGUGGCAAGCGUUAUCCGGAAUUAUUGGGCGUAAAGCGCGCGUAGGCGGUUUCUUAAGUCUGAUGUGAAAGCCCACGGCUCAACCGUGGAGGGUCAUUGGAAACUGGGAAACUUGAGUGCAGAAGAGGAGAGUGGAAUUCCAUGUGUAGCGGUGAAAUGCGCAGAGAUAUGGAGGAACACCAGUGGCGAAGGCGGCUCUCUGGUCUGUAACUGACGCUGAUGUGCGAAAGCGUGGGGAUCAAACAGGAUUAGAUACCCUGGUAGUCCACGCCGUAAACGAUGAGUGCUAAGUGUUAGGGGGUUUCCGCCCCUUAGUGCUGCAGCUAACGCAUUAAGCACUCCGCCUGGGGAGUACGACCGCAAGGUUGAAACUCAAAGGAAUUGACGGGGACCCGCACAAGCGGUGGAGCAUGUGGUUUAAUUCGAAGCAACGCGAAGAACCUUACCAAAUCUUGACAUCCUUUGACCGCUCUAGAGAUAGAGUCUUCCCCUUCGGGGGACAAAGUGACAGGUGGUGCAUGGUUGUCGUCAGCUCGUGUCGUGAGAUGUUGGGUUAAGUCCCGCAACGAGCGCAACCCUUAAGCUUAGUUGCCAUCAUUAAGUUGGGCACUCUAGGUUGACUGCCGGUGACAAACCGGAGGAAGGUGGGGAUGACGUCAAAUCAUCAUGCCCCUUAUGAUUUGGGCUACACACGUGCUACAAUGGAUAAUACAAAGGGCAGCGAAUCCGCGAGGCCAAGCAAAUCCCAUAAAAUUAUUCUCAGUUCGGAUUGUAGUCUGCAACUCGACUACAUGAAGCUGGAAUCGCUAGUAAUCGUAGAUCAGCAUGCUACGGUGAAUACGUUCCCGGGUCUUGUACACACCGCCCGUCACACCACGAGAGUUUGUAACACCCGAAGCCGGUGGAGUAACCUUUUAGGAGCUAGCCG
Molecule: ribosomal RNA, 1419 nt
Filed under: Mammaliicoccus sciuri
Lineage: Bacteria; Bacillati; Bacillota; Bacilli; Caryophanales; Staphylococcaceae
Description: bacterial SSU rRNA
Rfam family: Bacterial small subunit ribosomal RNA
Source: RNAcentral